This 4328-nucleotide long non-coding RNA is filed under the name Canis lupus familiaris (dog). RNAcentral's name for it is "lncRNA (ENSCAFG00845031023.1)". Lineage: Eukaryota; Metazoa; Chordata; Mammalia; Carnivora; Canidae. The record is from RNAcentral.
AAACACACAACAUGAUCUUCUUUAUUUAAUUGUUUAAUCAGUUUACAUUCCACAACUGACAGAUUAUUUAUUUUAUUUUUUUCCAUGAACAAGUCAUUGAAUUAUUACCAGACACUUUUUUUUUCUUCGAUCGAUGAUGGAAAGACGAUAUUUCUGCCAAUUUGAAAAAGAAAAUUGCAAGAUGGAGUGUCAGUGAAGUCCCCCAAAUGCUCUCUGCUUCCUCAGUCCUUGCAAAAAUCACGGGAACCUGGCAAUUUCCCUUUUCAUCCCCCCCCCCCCCCACUUCCCACUUUCCUGUUACAUUCACCUCUCCGAAGAGUACAAUUGUCUCGAGAUCUGGUUUGGAUCACCUUUCCUGUAAUUAAUUAAUUAUGAGAAGUAACAGACAGCACAAUAGAGCUGAUAAGAUGUAGCAUUCUUGUUAAGAUGAAACAACACAUUUAUUCACAUCGUAUCAGAAUGAAUUAACAGAAUAUUUAAUCUUAUUUUAGCACCAAUAACCACAGGAAUUUGCUACCUCCCAGGGCAGAGGCGGUGUUGGGAUCCUGCAGUACACACCACUCCUUGUCUAACCAGUCAGAAAGCACUAGGCAAAUGAAGGGUAAAUUUGUAGAAAUCUAUAUUGACCAAGCAAUAAUCUGGUGGACCAUAAACACUCCAGGUGUUCGAGAGUUUUGUCAGUUAUGAUCCCUGUCUAAUGACCAUAUAGAAAACAUACUCACCAAAGGGGCUCAUUUUCUUUCACUUGGUAACACAGGGCUCAGAAUGUUCUAUUUUAAAUGAGUUAAAUCUUGUCAUACUGGCUCUUUGAAAUGCUUUGAGUAUGCCCAGGGGUGGCUUGCUUGCAUUUUAUCCUGUUCUCUGUGCUAAGAUCUCGGAAAACUGUCUUCUUCCCCAUCCACCCCCACCCCACACAAAAGAGGUUUCUUCGCAUCUAAGGAAGGUCUCUAGUCAGGGAGGACAGAUAGGCAGUGGCGGCCUGAGUCCCAGUGCAAAGGACAGAACCUGUCAUCACCACAACCUCCUAGAAAACCCAGUCUUGCCUGUAGUCACUGCUAUCUCCAGCGGAUCCCCUUUUAGCACUUGACUUAAAGAUACAAAUGUAAGGAAAUUAAGGGGCUGAAAGGAACAGCUCUGAAUAUUGGUGAGAUGUUCUUAGCAGAUGAUUGGACUAGAUGACAAAAUGGUGUGUUCAUUAUUCUUGACCAAGAGGAGGCCUGUCUAGCCCCCCUCACCACUGUACGAUAAAGGGCAUGUGCAUAGGGAUAAGUUGGUGCUCUCAUAGCUGAAGAAAGUGACCUGCUCUAGCCUCUAGAACUUUGAGGAGUCAUUGGCGCCAUGCCCAGGGGCAGUGCUGACACCCUGUGGGGCACAGGUGACAUGUAUUUGACAAGCGAUAGUCCUCUCUGACUAAGCAGGUGAAGCAGAAUUUCAGGGGUUAGGAUAGCAGACUGGCUGCCCCUGCUGUGCUCUACUCUGAGCCAACACCAACCUCUGGCCUCUAUCACCUGGGAGAUCCGAGUGACUCAUGGGGGAGGGGGUCCGAUUAGACAUCUUAACAAAGAGUCUCAAUCUUUGCUGUCCUAUAUGGUAGCCAGGUGCCAUGUGUGGCUGUUGAACACUGGAGAUGUGCCUGGUCCAAACUGCAAUGCUUUCUAAGAAUAAAGUGCCCAUUGGAUUUCAAAGACUUCAUUAAAAGGAAACGGAUGUAAGAUAUCUCAGUAAUGUUUUAUAUUGAUUCCACGUUAAAAUAAUAGUUUUGGCAUGUUGGGUGGAAACGUGUUAAAAUUACUUUCAACUGUUUAUUCGGACUUUUAAAACUGGGGCCACUAGGAUAUUUAAAAUUGCAUAUGCGGCUUACAUUCUAUCUCUGUUGGACAGCACUGGUCUAAAUUGCCUUCCUGACACCGGUCCCGGAGUGAUGAUCACUGCGGACCAUCAGAAAGGAGGAAGGCUUGGAUUAUAGGCCCCACCUCAGGGCACCUCAUCUUCUCAGUCCGAGGGGAGGCACCUCCUUGUGCUGUAGGAUUCCCCGUCCUUCUUUCCUACUUCCUGCUACUUCCCUGCCUCUCAGGGCUUCCUGUUUCAUCCUUGCCAUGCUGAGGAUGCUCUGGUAAUUCUCCCAUUACCCCUUCCCAAAGCUUUCUUUAUCUUACCUCCAUAGGCAACUCACGUCUGCUGCCCACGGCCUGUACCCCACCACCCACUAGGGCUGUCUUCCUUCUGCUUGGCAGCAUCCCUUAGCCAGCCUCCCUGCUUCUGACAUCACAAGCCAUGUUUGUACAGUGAGUCACAGAUUACAAAGCAAUUCACAGGCACCAUCUCCUUUGAUACUCUCCUACCCCAGCUGGCAAAACUCUGUCAGGAUAGUAAAAUGAGAAUGGCAAAGUGGGUGGGAAAAGGCAUCUGAGAACAAAAAGGUAGAUCAAAGGCUUUGGACUGGAGCACAAACUGGCUGUUAGCUUGAGGUUACUUUCUGCGGAGUGAGAGGGGCAAGAGGAGCAUGGAAUAACUCUCCAAACGGACCUCCAGGGGGGAAGCACACGCACCUGCGUGGGCCGAAGCCUCUAAGGAUAGCAGCAGAAUGGCCAAGGAGACGUGGUGCCCCAGGGGCCCCAGGAGCCCCCUGCUCCCCAUUUGGCUGAGAGGACACAGAGACAGUGAGGUAACAAGACUCGCCUGAGGCCCCCAGUGAGCCGGUGACAAAGCUACGAAUGCAAACCCAGGAUCAGGUCUUUGCAGUGACCUUCGUGAUGACCUUCGCCCUUCAGACUUGGAUGACUUGCUUUGACUUUCUGGAAAAUAUAUUUUACUUUAAAGGCAAAAAGCUUUAGAACAGAGGGUCCCAAGCAGACACUAGUGACUGUCAAGAGAAGCAACCAGAAAAAACAACAACAACAACAACAACAACUCCUGUGCCAACGGCUUCCUUCCCUUCAAAUCCCACCUGGAGUCAGGAUUCUAGGGCAGUCUACGUAAGUCCUCCAAAAACUGAGGGCUACGUCAAUGCGUGUGUCUAGUCUCAAUACCCUCCCCCUUAUUUUCAGUUUCCACUUUUAUUUGUACAUUUUUACAAAUAGUCUUAGAUCUAAAACAGUCACACCAUGGGUGGGAGUGGGAAAGUAGUCUGAGAAUGAGUUAGUGAAAGCUCCCUAUGUGAAAGGCAUCAUCACAUCCACAACGACACAGACACACCAAAACAUUCAGGCUUGAGAGGGUCUCCAGGAGAUGGGGAAAGAAGGGAGAGGUUUGGCCGGAGGGAGUCAGGGGAGACAGAAGAGAGAGACACAAGAGUUCCCCAAGGAGCAACACUCAGUCCUUGGAAAUGAAGAAUAGGAUUACAGUUGCCAAAGUUGGCAUCUGUCAAAGUGAGGCCAGGUUUGAGCUACCACUGUGCACCCCUCCAUGCUUACACCCAAUUUUCUGCUUCUCAAGAGUGAACAAACACCCCCUGUGGUUGGGUAGGCCCCCCAUUCUUGGUUGGGCCCUAUCCUUAUAGUGAGCAAGGACUUGGACUUCUCUUAGAGAAGGUCUCACAGUAACAUUGAAACCAGAUCCCCUGCAAAGCACAAAGUGUGCAGACCCUUUUGGAAGUGCAUUCUUGUCUAGAACCUAGGAUUCAGUUUUUCCCAAAUAGGAUCACACCCAGAACAUCUCCUAGUGAAUGCACCAUCCAAAGGACUUCCUAUGAGAACCCAUAUGCUUUUGAUGAAGCCAUCUGCUUUACCAACUGACAAGAGAAAGAAGAUUCCAGUUCUUUGAAACUGGUUCCCAUCUUAAACUUCAAAGACCAUUAAAAAAUGUUUCAGACCCUGAUCUGUUCCCACUGCUAGGGCAUGUACAGCCACAAAUCAUGUUUGAAGAAAAGAGAAAAAAAAAAAAGGCAUUGACCCCAUGCCUUGCUUAAUAGUUAACUGUGUUAGCACAUAUAUGCUACUUGCUUCAGAUGGUUUACUCAUUCCGUGACCUCUGGGAAUAAUCGAGAGGGAUUAAGAGUGCCCUUUGCAAAAUUGGCUUUGGACAAAAGGAAGGAAGCCUGAGAAUGGGUAAAUUAAGGAGCCAACCUCUGUGAGGGACUCGAAUGAUAAAACAAUCCCACGUGCUGAAGCUGGAUUGAACGGCCCUAUCUGGUGGCCAAGAUGACCGCUCACUCCCAAUUGUCCUUCCAGCAGUGAGGACCAGACAUCACACAGAAGAAUUCCGCAUGAUGGGGGCUCUGCUGCUGCAGGAUCAUUUGAACAAUGCGUGAUUUAUGUGACACGUCAUGUUUGCAAAUCACUUUGCAAUUUCCUUGUCACCCUUAAUAUACCAUGAGGUAAAGUGUUAUC